RNAcentral lists this unclassified non-coding RNA (398 nucleotides) under Heracleum lehmannianum. Its description in RNAcentral is "partial external transcribed spacer". Lineage: Eukaryota; Viridiplantae; Streptophyta; Magnoliopsida; Apiales; Apiaceae. The record is from RNAcentral.
CGUAUGAGCGAGGACAAUUACUAUCCUCCCGUCAAUACAGGGCACAUCAGGCUUUCGUAAGGGACAAUUGAUUCGGGCAAAAAGGGACAAAGUCCCCGACCGAUCUUUUGCUUCUACAUACAAGACUUCGAGCAACCCUUGGGCGUCCAAUGCCUGCUAGCUAAAUAAGAAAAGCAAGAGCGAACGUACAUGGGUGCUAAAUGGUCUACGUCGCACAAAACCUUUUAGCACGAGAUAGAGUAUGGAUCGUGGGACUAGAGCAUUCCGUCAAAAUAGGUAUGCUGCACAGGGGGCCAAGGCAGUCCAAGGUAAAAGAUUUAGCACUCAAACAGAAUUGAACAGGUGUGAACUAGCGAUUAUCGCUGCCAGGGCAGGGAACCAACCAACCGGAACAUACC